Peromyscus maniculatus bairdii (prairie deer mouse) is the source of this 541-nucleotide non-coding RNA. The record is from RefSeq and is a predicted model, not a curated record. NCBI's taxonomy places the organism in Eukaryota, Metazoa, Chordata, Mammalia, Rodentia, Cricetidae.
UCCUAUAGGCCAUGGGUUUUUUGCUCACCCCACAGGCAGGCAGCUGAGCCCUUGGACUGCAUUUUAACGAGGAGUCCACCUGUUAUAGCGGGAGAAGUGGAGGAAAAGCCCAAGUUGGAAACCCCUGAAACUUGAGCUUGAAUAGCAGCGACCUAGUGUUUAACCGAGAAACCAGAAUUCUUUUCUAUGUCAUGGAGCUGAACAACUAGGUGGGCCAGAAGAAUAAAAUUCCAUCUAAAAAAAUAUUUUAAAAUGGCUCACUUGAGGCUUGGAGUUCAGGAAGGACCAGUAGGCAGUCAGAACAGGUGGAAGACCCUGAGCUUCAGAGAACAAGUCUCAAGCACCUUACAAUCCUGGGCAGAUGGGACUGCCAACCUGUGCACCAUUUCCCAAGGAACGCACAUCACCUCUUGCAUGCUGAGUACUCAUCCUGCCCCACAAAAGGCUCCUACAGGACAGCUGGAUGAGGCUUUGUACUGCAUGAUCAAAUGUGACUGGAGGGCUCCAAGCAGCUUACAAACAAUCAUUAAAACUGGAAAAG